AAAUGCUGUUGAAACACGGAAAUGUGAACUGUCAAAACUUUUAUUUUAGUUACAUUUCCCCCUCUCUUUCCAUUCUAGUCCUCAAAGCAACUUAGCAACAAUUAUUUAAAAUAAAUGUUGUCCUUAAAUGACAAUAUUAAAACCCAGCAUAAAAGGCAUAACAUUCACAUACAAAACAACAGGCUAGUUCACACGAUCAGUAAUUGGGUUGGACAAUUGUCCUACCCAAAUCUGGGAGCCGUGCACACCCCUGUUUUGCCUGUGUGUUCUCAUAAAAAUCAAGGUAGGAGGUCAGGGAAGUGAUCGUGCGGGAGGCUCCCAUGGAGGAGGAUAGCUCUGUCCUACACAGUAGCUGUGCCUGGGGCUUUUAUACACAGCAGGCAAAGCUCUGGACUAAAUGUUGAGAGAAGCCACUUUGAAUUACACUCGUGGCAUGAAGGAAGCAGCCCCUCCCCUCUGCUCUCAGCUUUUCUUUUGGUGCAGGUUCACAUUGCAUGCCCCCAUGUUUUCCUUCUAGCCAAGGGGGACUCCUUGGGAACACAAUGUUGCCUUCAAAACCUCGUGUCCUAGACUGGGAGCAUUUGUCUACACUAACAGAUUUCUUCCCUUUUUUUCCAACACAUGCCUGGUGUUUUAACCAGGAAAAACCUUAAGCAAGCAGACUAAUAUUGUCCAAAAACUUGAGCAAACACAGAGGUUUUACUUUUGUAACUAGAGCUUAAAAGAGUUUGCUUUCUGCAGCUAGGCAAGCCUGCUCGAUUUGCAUUUCUAAAGAGAUAUAUCUGCAUUCCUAAAGAGUGUUUCCCUCUUAUCAUUAUAAUGCUUCUACUUCAGUGCCUCACCCUAUUUGCUCUGACUUUUUCAGAAAAACUCACUUAAAACCAGCAUCGUAAAACCCGGAAAUACAUUGAGAUAAGCUAGAAUUCGGAAGACAAAGCCCGAUUUGUGUGUGGAGUGCUUCCAAGAAUCUCGAAUGGACUUCAGGGUUAUGAGUAAAGAAGAAAUUUCAGUCUCGUGUGCUAACUUAAGAACAGGAAAAAUUCCAUUCCAAUCGACCAAAGGCACUUCUGUCUGAACUCCACUUCACUGCAUUCAAUGGUACACCAUUAAAUGGUACUCCUGCAAGGCUUGUGGCCAGGGAACCUGUCCGACUGCAUUUCCCCAUAGUAAUCUGCCAUGGCCCAUAGUCCGGCAUCUCAGGCCAUGCUAGGGCCCCACCACUAACUGGGAUUGGACUGGCAGAGACUUGGAGGCAUGGCCUUUUCCAUUGUGGCCCCUCAGCUAUGGAAUGCCAUCCCAGAGGAACUUUGCCAUGCUUCCUUUCACAGGAUCUUCAAAAAGCAUUUGAAGACUUACCUUUUUAGAAAGGUGUGUGUGUGUGUGUGUUUUCAAUUGCAGCUGGUGACUCCUGUUCCGGGUGGGAGCGGGUAGUAAUGAUGAUGCAAUAUAACUAAAAAAACAAACUUUUUGCCAUGCUGACCAUUCAAAUGGCCACCACGCAUGCACAGAGACCAGCUGAGUAGUGGGGGCAGGGCAUCCUCUGCAGGAUGCUGGGUCGGCUGCCGCUGGUUCCCUAAGGAUACCAGGUGCUGGCAGCAGGUAAGUUCAGUUGUUUUUAAAGUCAGAUCUCACCACCUUCACUGCCCUCUCCGCCCACCAAGCAGGCUUCACCGCCACUACUGGUAUUUUUGUCUGCUAAACUUUAAAACUUGGUCUUAACUGGGUCCUGUUUUUAGCUAACUUUUAAAACUAUAUAGGCACUCCCCGACUUACAAACACCUGUCAUCCCUCAUAGGAACCAUAUGUGUUUCCGAGUUAUGAACUUACAAAUGAACUUUUGGAAUGCAACCCAUUUGUAAGUUGGAGACCCUGUAUAUGGUUUUAUUAUUAUUGUAAGCCACCCCAAGCAGUAUUGUACUGGAGGGGAUGGGAUAUUUUAAAUAAAUAUUCCAGAGUAUAUUCCCAUCCAUGGGAGCUGCUUUUCAAGGGGCAAUGGACAGCUAAGAGCUGAAAGGUCCAAGGAAAUACAUGGAACAACACACAUAGCCUUUCGGAUCCCAGUCAUCUUUUAAUAUACAUUUCUCAAUAUAGGGAAGGCCCACCUUGACAAAAAUAGUGGAAUUACAUUCCUGCAAAGCUUCCAUUAAGCUGAUCACAUGGAGACACACCAUCUCUACCAUCUGUGUGGGAAUGAAAAGAGUUCAAAUAAGAUACAUACCCUGUGCCACACUGUCAUUAAAACAACAAUCAAUGGAUGACAGGAUUAAGAUCAGAUUAAAUUUUUCAACAAAGAAAUGGUCAAUAUUUACCAGGUUUCCCUUGAUAUAGCUGUAAGUUACAUCCACAAGUUACAACCAUGUUCAAUGCAUUUUACUGGGUCUUUCUAAGUCUUUCUCUACAUCCCAUCCUGGCCAACUACCAUUAAUCAUGGUGCUGGUUUUUCCCCCUUUUCUUUGUAAUUUACUGGAUUUGGUCUGAAAAUUAAUUUGCUACAAAGAUAGUAUUAAUUUCUUACCAAGAUUUAUUGUUUUGAAUCAGCAGUGAGCCAUGAAUAUAAAAAUUCUUCACUGUAUCUUCAAUGAGCUAUGGCAUGCAAAAGGUUUCUCCAGCCUUUGAGUUGUAAAUACAAACCAAGGCAAAUAUAUGGAGAGAGAAAGAACAUUUACGGUGCUUUCCUGAGCUGUGCAUGGAUUUACUGUGAUAUUACCAAUAAAAUCCUCUUCCAUUUUUCUAUCGUA
Long non-coding RNA from Hemicordylus capensis (graceful crag lizard), 2738 nucleotides. RefSeq lists it as uncharacterized. The transcript is spliced from 2 exons. Lineage: Eukaryota; Metazoa; Chordata; Lepidosauria; Squamata; Cordylidae. The record is from RefSeq and is a predicted model, not a curated record.